This is a long non-coding RNA of Galeopterus variegatus (Sunda flying lemur), 785 nucleotides long. RefSeq lists it as uncharacterized. Lineage: Eukaryota; Metazoa; Chordata; Mammalia; Dermoptera; Cynocephalidae. The transcript has 3 exons. The record is from RefSeq and is a predicted model, not a curated record.
AAUGCACAUGUGGAAAUGCAUGGAGAAGGGGCACGUGGAAGGCUGUUCCUGUACCACUGUGCAAUGGACGAGGUCACUGUGAAAUGAUAACCACUGACAGAUGGCCUGCAGGAUAUUUCACAUAUUUUCAGCAUGUUAGAGAUAAGGAAUCUGAGCUCUCACCUCAUCUAAUAACCUCUCCUUAGAGAUGAAGAAACUGAGGACCAGAUAGUUUGGCUGGCUGGUAUGGGGAUCUGAACCCUGGACCUUGGUGUUAUAACACACUCUAACCACCUGAGCUAACUGGUCAGCCCCGCUGGAUUAAUUGAAUGUCAAGACUUUAAAUAUCUUAAUUUCAAAAGGACAUUGUGAUAGAAUAAAUGACCUUUUAGUGAGUAAAUACCAUAAGUGUAACUCCCAGACCAAAGCAUUUAAGAGUUGGUGUGUGACCCUGCAGCUCUCUUCUGCUGCAGCAACCAUGGGGACAUCAUGAUCCAGGUGGUGCAGCUAUAAAGAGUCAAAGUCCCUAUCAGCUCAGGUCUUUGAGAAUCUGUAUGGAAGACAGUCCCCUAGUGAUCCAAAUAAAACAUGUAAUGUGAGCAAGAAUAAACCUCUGCUUAUGUUAGGCCACUGAGAUCUGGGGGUUAAUUUGUUAUACAGCAUGGUCUAGCAUAGCCUGAUUAAUACACAGUAGUAUUUACAAUGGAAUGUGUUUAACAAUCAAAAUACAUAAAUAUGUAAUUGUAAAGCCUCGUAUGUCUUAGAGAACAUUUUAUUCAAUAAAAGUAAAUCAAAUAAAGAAUGGA